This 437-nucleotide ribosomal RNA is filed under the name uncultured Oscillospiraceae bacterium. Its description in RNAcentral is "partial 16S ribosomal RNA". It matches the Rfam family "Bacterial small subunit ribosomal RNA", at positions 341 to 792 of the family's 1533-position model. Lineage: Bacteria; Bacillati; Bacillota; Clostridia; Eubacteriales; Oscillospiraceae. The record is from RNAcentral.
ACGGAAGGCAGCAGUGGGGAAUAUUGGGCAGUGGGCGAAAGCCUGACCCAGCAACGCCGCGUGAAGGAAGAAGGUCUUCGGAUUGUAAACUUCUUUUAUGAGGGACGAAGGACGUGACGGUACCUCAUGAAUAAGCCACGGCUAACUACGUGCCAGCAGCCGCGGUAAUACGUAGGUGGCAAGCGUUAUCCGGAUUUACUGGGUGUAAAGGGCGCGUAGGCGGGGAUGCAAGUCAGAUGUGAAAUCUAUGGGCUUAACUCAUAAACUGCAUUUGAAACUGUAUCUCUUGGGUGCUGGAGAGGUAGACGGAAUUCCUUGUGUAGCGGUGAAAUGCGUAGAUAUAAGGAAGAACACCAGUGGCGAAGGCGGUCUACUGGACAGUAACUGACGCUGAGGCGCGAAAGCGUGGGGAGCAAACAGGAUUAGAUACCCUGGUA